Mytilus trossulus (common blue mussel) is the source of this 1146-nucleotide long non-coding RNA. RefSeq lists it as uncharacterized. The record is from RefSeq and is a predicted model, not a curated record. NCBI's taxonomy places the organism in Eukaryota, Metazoa, Mollusca, Bivalvia, Mytilida, Mytilidae. The transcript is spliced from 3 exons.
UACAAUGUAACUAAGCCAAUUUUUUUUACCUAUACAAGUAAAUAAAAUUCACUUGUAUAAGUAUCCUACAAAUUUACUUAUAUGUGUAUAUUUUUUUUACUUCUUCAAGUAAAUAAAAUACACUUGUACAAGUAGUACCCCUGACUGUAGGAAUGAUAAAGUAAACUCAUUUUCAUGAAUGACAAUCAAACAGCGUCUACUUAAAGCACCAAUGCAUCGUUCCAGUUAGACCAAAACAAUUAAAGUUUCAUAUUUUCAUUAGCUUAUUUUUCAGAAAAUUAUCUGUAUGCAUCUUCAGCUUGUAUAACUUAAUCUUGUAUAUUCCUGCUGUUUCAAACAGUAGACGGAUAAACACACGACUAUAUUUGCCACUGAACAUUAAAUAUUCAAUAAAAAUUUGGCUUCUUUCAAUAAUGAAUGCAAAGAGAAUAAAUGCAUGUGCAUCAUAUCAUCUAGCAAUCCCAUAUUAUUACUGUUUAUUAAAUUAUAUGAUUUUAGGUGUAAUACCACCAAAUCAUGGUACGUCCCAUCCGGUUGCAUAUGAAAGUAGGCCUAAAAAAAUAUUCCCUUGAAUUUGACAGUUGUAGAAAAUUAACCCUGCAUUUCAAUGCACUUAAAUUUUUCUGAGUCUUAAAUAUGUAUAUUGGAAGUCUGAAAGCAUCAUUCUUUUUUUAUUUGAUGGUCUUAUAAAAUAUUUUGGAACGUUAAGGUUACAUAGUUACCAAAGCAGGUAACCAGUAAAUAAUAGUGUAAAAAUUGGGUUGUUUACUUCCGGUGUUGGGUACUAUCUUAUAUGCAAUGAAAUGUAGUGUGAAAUUUUCACUGUAUCACUGGAAAGGAUUAAACUUUAUACAUGUACAUGCAAAGUAUUUCUUUAGUUGAAAUAAAGUGUACACCAUGUUCUGAAGAGCAUUUUGUUGAAAUUUUUUAUAUGUGAAGUGGUCAGCAGAUGACACUUCAGCAUUAGAACAAAAGAUAUCAAGUUUUGAUGAUAAAGGAAGGAUGGAGGAAAAAUGGACCAAAACAGACUAAAACAGACCUUCAAAUGAACUCUAAAAGGUGCAAUAAAAUUGUUUAUCAUCUUAAAGUUGUCUUUUGUAUUCUAUUUAAUUGUUUGAAUGCAUAGAUCAUGAGUUUAUGAUCAGA